RNAcentral lists this ribosomal RNA (250 nucleotides) under uncultured prokaryote. RNAcentral describes it as "partial 16S ribosomal RNA". It matches the Rfam family "Bacterial small subunit ribosomal RNA", at positions 524 to 773 of the family's 1533-position model. The record is from RNAcentral.
UACGUAGGAUGCAAGCGUUGUCCGGAAUUACUGGGUGUAAAGGGAGCGCAGGCGGGACUGCAAGUUGGAUGUGAAAUGUCGAGGCUUAACCUCGGAACUGCAUCCAAAACUGUAGUUCUUGAGUGGAGUAGAGGCAAGCGGAAUUCCGAGUGUAGCGGUGAAAUGCGUAGAUAUUCGGAGGAACACCAGUGGCGAAGGCGGCUUGCUGGGCUCUAACUGACGCUGAGGCUCGAAAGUGUGGGGAGCAAAC